CCAUGAAACGACGCCGUUUUGAUUGGCGCUUAUACCUGCUUCGAUUCCAGCCUGAAGCAUUUUUUAUGUGUCUUUUUUUUCAUUUUAAUUUCCAGGCCAUGAAACGACGCCGUUUUGAUUGGCGCUUAUACCUGCUUCGAUUCCAGCCUGAAGCAUUUUUUCAAAUUAAUUUUCAUUUCUUCAUUUCCCUCCAAAUAUUAUGUGCAUGAUCAUUUUU
RNAcentral lists this long non-coding RNA (217 nucleotides) under Lathyrus oleraceus (garden pea). RNAcentral describes it as "Pisum sativum (pea) long non-coding RNA (PSAT_LNC033846)". Lineage: Eukaryota; Viridiplantae; Streptophyta; Magnoliopsida; Fabales; Fabaceae. The record is from RNAcentral.